This 2923-nucleotide ribosomal RNA is filed under the name Klebsiella pneumoniae. Its description in RNAcentral is "23S ribosomal RNA". It matches the Rfam family "Bacterial large subunit ribosomal RNA". Lineage: Bacteria; Pseudomonadati; Pseudomonadota; Gammaproteobacteria; Enterobacterales; Enterobacteriaceae. The record is from RNAcentral.
GGGUUGUGAGGUUAAGCGACUAAGCGUACACGGUGGAUGCCCUGGCAGUCAGAGGCGAUGAAGGACGUGCUAAUCUGCGAAAAGCGUCGGUAAGGUGAUAUGAACCGUUAUAACCGGCGAUGUCCGAAUGGGGAAACCCAGUGUGAUUCGUCACACUAUCGUUAACUGAAUACAUAGGUUAACGAGGCGAACCGGGGGAACUGAAACAUCUAAGUACCCCGAGGAAAAGAAAUCAACCGAGAUUCCCCCAGUAGCGGCGAGCGAACGGGGAGCAGCCCAGAGUCUGAAUCAGCUUGUGUGUUAGUGGAACGGUCUGGAAAGUCCGACGGUACAGGGUGAUAGUCCCGUACACCAAAAUGCACAGGUUGUGAACUCGAAGAGUAGGGCGGGACACGUGGUAUCCUGUCUGAAUAUGGGGGGACCAUCCUCCAAGGCUAAAUACUCCUGACUGACCGAUAGUGAACCAGUACCGUGAGGGAAAGGCGAAAAGAACCCCGGCGAGGGGAGUGAAAAAGAACCUGAAACCGUGUACGUACAAGCAGUGGGAGCACCUUCGGGUGUGACUGCGUACCUUUUGUAUAAUGGGUCAGCGACUUAUAUUCUGUAGCAAGGUUAACCGUAUAGGGGAGCCGCAGGGAAACCGAGUCUUAACUGGGCGUUAAGUUGCAGGGUAUAGACCCGAAACCCGGUGAUCUAGCCAUGGGCAGGUUGAAGGUUGGGUAACACUAACUGGAGGACCGAACCGACUAAUGUUGAAAAAUUAGCGGAUGACUUGUGGCUGGGGGUGAAAGGCCAAUCAAACCGGGAGAUAGCUGGUUCUCCCCGAAAGCUAUUUAGGUAGCGCCUCGUGAACUCAUCUUCGGGGGUAGAGCACUGUUUCGGCUAGGGGGUCAUCCCGACUUACCAACCCGAUGCAAACUACGAAUACCGAAGAAUGUUAUCACGGGAGACACACGGCGGGUGCUAACGUCCGUCGUGAAGAGGGAAACAACCCAGACCGCCAGCUAAGGUCCCAAAGUCAUGGUUAAGUGGGAAACGAUGUGGGAAGGCACAGACAGCCGGAUGUUGGCUUAGAAGCAGCCAUCAUUUAAAGAAAGCGUAAUAGCUCACUGGUCGAGUCGGCCUGCGCGGAAGAUGUAACGGGGCUAAACCAUGCACCGAAGCUGCGGCAGCGACACUAUGUGUUGUUGGGUAGGGGAGCGUUCUGUAAGCCUGCGAAGGUGUGCUGUGAGGCAUGCUGGAGGUAUCAGAAGUGCGAAUGCUGACAUAAGUAACGAUAAAGCGGGUGAAAAGCCCGCUCGCCGGAAGACCAAGGGUUCCUGUCCAACGUUAAUCGGGGCAGGGUGAGUCGACCCCUAAGGCGAGGCCGAAAGGCGUAGUCGAUGGGAAACAGGUUAAUAUUCCUGUACUUGGUGUUACUGCGAAGGGGGGACGGAGAAGGCUAUGUUAGCCGGGCGACGGUUGUCCCGGUUUAAGCAUGUAGGCUGAUUGUCCAGGCAAAUCCGGAUAAUCAAGGCUGAGGUGUGAUGACGAGGCACUACGGUGCUGAAGUAACAAAUGCCCUGCUUCCAGGAAAAGCCUCUAAGCAUCAGGUAACAUCAAAUCGUACCCCAAACCGACACAGGUGGUCAGGUAGAGAAUACCAAGGCGCUUGAGAGAACUCGGGUGAAGGAACUAGGCAAAAUGGUGCCGUAACUUCGGGAGAAGGCACGCUGGUGUGUAGGUGAAGUCCCUGCGGAUGGAGCUGAGACCAGUCGAAGAUACCAGCUGGCUGCAACUGUUUAUUAAAAACACAGCACUGUGCAAACACGAAAGUGGACGUAUACGGUGUGACGCCUGCCCGGUGCCGGAAGGUUAAUUGAUGGGGUUAUCCGUAAGGAGAAGCUCUUGAUCGAAGCCCCGGUAAACGGCGGCCGUAACUAUAACGGUCCUAAGGUAGCGAAAUUCCUUGUCGGGUAAGUUCCGACCUGCACGAAUGGCGUAAUGAUGGCGAGGCUGUCUCCACCCGAGACUCAGUGAAAUUGAACUCGCUGUGAAGAUGCAGUGUACCCGCGGCAAGACGGAAAGACCCCGUGAACCUUUACUAUAGCUUGACACUGAACAUUGAGCCUUGAUGUGUAGGAUAGGUGGGAGGCUUUGAAGCGUGGACGCCAGUCUGCGUGGAGCCAACCUUGAAAUACCACCCUUUAAUGUUUGAUGUUCUAACGUUGGCCCCUUACCGGGGUUGCGGACAGUGUCUGGUGGGUAGUUUGACUGGGGCGGUCUCCUCCCAAAGCGUAACGGAGGAGCACGAAGGUUAGCUAAUCCUGGUCGGACAUCAGGAGGUUAGUGCAAUGGCAUAAGCUAGCUUGACUGCGAGCGUGACGGCGCGAGCAGGUGCGAAAGCAGGUCAUAGUGAUCCGGUGGUUCUGAAUGGAAGGGCCAUCGCUCAACGGAUAAAAGGUACUCCGGGGAUAACAGGCUGAUACCGCCCAAGAGUUCAUAUCGACGGCGGUGUUUGGCACCUCGAUGUCGGCUCAUCACAUCCUCGGGGCUGAAGUAGGUCCCAAGGGUAUGGCUGUUCGCCAUUUAAAGUGGUACGCGAGCUGGGUUUAGAACGUCGUGAGACAGUUCGGUCCCUAUCUGCCGUGGGCGCUGGAGAAUUGAGGGGGGCUGCUCCUAGUACGAGAGGACCGGAGUGGACGCAUCACUGGUGUUCGGGUUGUCAUGCCAAUGGCACUGCCCGGUAGCUAAAUGCGGAAGAGAUAAGUGCUGAAAGCAUCUAAGCACGAAACUUGCCCCGAGAUGAGUUCUCCCUGAGACUUUAAGUCUCCUGAAGGAACGUUGAAGACGACGACGUUGAUAGGCCGGGUGUGUAAGCGCAGCGAUGCGUUGAGCUAACCGGUACUAAUGAACCGUGAGGCUUAACCUUACAACGCCGAAG